This 627-nucleotide ribosomal RNA is filed under the name Amazonian soil bacterium M29. Its description in RNAcentral is "partial 16S ribosomal RNA". The record is from RNAcentral.
CCCAUCUCUGUCCACUUANGCGGUGGCCCUUACGGUUACCCACGACUUCGGGUGUUACAAACUCUCGUGGUGUGACGGGCGGUGUGUACAAGGCCCGGGAACGUAUUCACCGCGGCAUGCUGAUCCGCGAUUACUANCGAUUCCGGCUUCAUGCAGGCNAGUUGCAGCCUGCAAUCCGAACUGAGAAUGGUUUUAUGGGAUUGGCUAAACCUCGCGGUCUUGCAGCCCUUUGUACCAUCCAUUGUANCACGUGUGUANCCCAGGUCAUAAGGGGCAUGAUGAUUUGACGUCAUCCCCACCUUCCUCCGGUUUGUCACCGGCAGUCACCUUAGAGUGCCCAACUNAAUGCUGGCAACUAAAAUCAAGGGUUGCGCUCGUUGCGGGACUUAACCCAACAUCUCACGACACNAGCUGACNACACCAUGCACCACCUGUCACUCUNUCCCCGAAGGGGAAAGUCCUAUCUCUNGGAAUUUCAAAAGAAUUUCAAAACCGGGUUANGGUCCUCCCCUUUCCUCCAAAUUAAACCCNUCCCCCCCGCUUGUUUCGGGGCCCCCCUCCAAUCCUUUNAAUUUCCANCCCUUGCCGGCCGUACUCCCCCCGGGCGGAAAUGCCUUAAUUGCCUUU